UGGGGAAUAUUGCACAAUGGGCGAAAGCCUGAUGCAGCAACGCCGCGUGAGUGAUGAAGGUCUUCGGAUUGUAAAGCUCUGUCUUUUGGGACGAUAAUGACGGUACCAAAGGAGGAAGCCACGGCUAACUACGUGCCAGCAGCCGCGGUAAUACGUAGGUGGCGAGCGUUGUCCGGAUUUACUGGGCGUAAAGGGUGCGUAGGCGGAUGUUUAAGUGAGAUGUGAAAUACCCGGGCUUAACUUGGGUGCUGCAUUUCAAACUGGAUAUCUAGAGUGCAGGAGAGGAGAAUGGAAUUCCUAGUGUAGCGGUGAAAUGCGUAGAGAUUAGGAAGAACACCAGUGGCGAAGGCGAUUCUCUGGACUGUAACUGACGCUGAGGCACGAAAGCGUGGGUAGCAAACAGGAUUAGAUACCCUGGUAGUCCACGCCGUAAACGAUGAGUACUAGGUGUAGGAGGUAUCGACCCCUUCUGUGCCGCAGUAAACACAUUAAGUACUCCGCCUGGGGAAGUACGAUCGCAAGAUUAAAACUCUAAAGUGAAUUGACGGGGU
This 551-nucleotide ribosomal RNA is filed under the name uncultured bacterium. RNAcentral's name for it is "partial 16S ribosomal RNA". It matches the Rfam family "Bacterial small subunit ribosomal RNA", at positions 355 to 919 of the family's 1533-position model. The record is from RNAcentral.